Pangasianodon gigas (Mekong giant catfish) is the source of this 72-nucleotide non-coding RNA. The record is from the annotation of a GenBank genome assembly. NCBI's taxonomy places the organism in Eukaryota, Metazoa, Chordata, Actinopteri, Siluriformes, Pangasiidae.
UAGGUAAUGAUGUCAUUUGUAUUUUAUGGAAACUUCUAUACGUAAUGAUGUCAUUUGUAUUUUAUGGAACCA